RNAcentral lists this long non-coding RNA (1085 nucleotides) under Ananas comosus (pineapple). RNAcentral's name for it is "long non-coding RNA (ACOM_LNC006048)". The record is from RNAcentral. Lineage: Eukaryota; Viridiplantae; Streptophyta; Magnoliopsida; Poales; Bromeliaceae.
AUAGAUAGAUUAAUUAAACAAAUAAUUUUAAAUAAUUCGUAACCAAAUAUCCUUACGAAUGACAGUAGAGAAAAAAAAAAUUACGAAGUAAAAAUUAUAUCUAUACUAAUAAAUUCUUUCGCAAAGAAUAAUUUCAAAGCAACCGCCAAUCAUUUCGUUUUUACUUUGGUCAUCUAUACCGAUUUUUUCGCAACCAAUCAUUUCAAAUAAUUCGCAACAGAUUAUUGCGUAUUUCGCAACCAAUAAUUUUAAAUAAUUUAUUAAACAAAUAAUUUUAAAUAAUUCGUAACCAAAUAUCCAUAUUUGAGUUUGACACGUGGCAAACAUAUGAAAGCCACGUGUCAGCUUCUCACAUAGGGUUCAUUAAGGGUUCUACUUUUAUAUAUAGUAAUAGAUAGAUUAAUUAAACAAAUAAUUUUAAAUAAUUCGUAACCAAAUAUCCUUACGAAUGACAGUAGAGAAAAAAAAAAUUACGAAGUAAAAAUUAUAUCUAUACUAAUAAAUUCUUUCGCAAAGAAUAAUUUCAAAGCAACCGCCAAUCAUUUCGUUUUUACUUUGGUCAUCUAUACCGAUUUUUUCGCAACCAAUCAUUUCAAAUAAUUCGCAACAGAUUAUUGCGUAUUUCGCAACCAAUAAUUUUAAAUAAUUAAUUAAACAAAUAAUUUUAAAUAAUUCGUAACCAAAUAUCAUAUUUGAGUUUGACACGUGGCAAACAUAUAGAAAGCCACGUGUCAGCUUUCGCAACCAAUCAUUUCAAAUAAUUCGCAACAGAUAAUUGCGUAUUUCGCAACCAAUAAUUUUAAAUAAUUAAUUAAACAAAUAAUACGUGGCAAACAUAUAGAAAGCCACGUGUCAGCUUCUCACAUAGGGUUCAUUAAGGGUUCUACUUUUAUAUAUAGUAAUAGAUAGACGUGUCAGCUUCUCACAUAGGGUUCAUUAAGGGUUCUACUUUUAUAUAUAGUAAUAAAUUUUUCUAAAUUAGAGAGUUAUUUUUUAUAUUAAUAUUUUUAGAAAGAUAUUUAUGUAAUUUAAGUUUGGAGGAAGAUAGUGCGUGUGAAAUUAAUCUUUAUAUUUACUUAUGUAUU